This 253-nucleotide ribosomal RNA is filed under the name uncultured bacterium. RNAcentral's name for it is "partial 16S ribosomal RNA". It matches the Rfam family "Bacterial small subunit ribosomal RNA", at positions 524 to 776 of the family's 1533-position model. The record is from RNAcentral.
UACAGAGGGUGCAAGCGUUAAUCGGAGUUACUGGGCGUAAAGGGCGCGUAGGCGGUUAAUUAAGUGAGAUGUGAAAGCCCUGGGCUUAACCUAGGAACUGCAUCUUAUACUGAUUAGCUAGAGUAUUGUAGAGGGUAGUGGAAUUUCCGGUGUAGCGGUGAAAUGCGUAGAGAUCGGAAGGAACACCAGUGGCGAAGGCGGCUACCUGGACAAAUACUGACGCUGAGGCGCGAGAGCGUGGGGAGCAAACAGG